This 517-nucleotide unclassified non-coding RNA is filed under the name Fusarium oxysporum. RNAcentral's name for it is "sequence contains ITS1, 5.8S rRNA gene, ITS2". The stretch from base 165 to 318 matches the Rfam family "5.8S ribosomal RNA". The record is from RNAcentral. Lineage: Eukaryota; Fungi; Ascomycota; Sordariomycetes; Hypocreales; Nectriaceae.
UGCGGAGGGAUCAUUACCGAGUUUACAACUCCCAAACCCCUGUGAACAUACCACUUGUUGCCUCGGCGGAUCAGCCCGCUCCCGGUAAAACGGGACGGCCCGCCAGAGGACCCCUAAACUCUGUUUCUAUAUGUAACUUCUGAGUAAAACCAUAAAUAAAUCAAAACUUUCAACAACGGAUCUCUUGGUUCUGGCAUCGAUGAAGAACGCAGCAAAAUGCGAUAAGUAAUGUGAAUUGCAGAAUUCAGUGAAUCAUCGAAUCUUUGAACGCACAUUGCGCCCGCCAGUAUUCUGGCGGGCAUGCCUGUUCGAGCGUCAUUUCAACCCUCAAGCACAGCUUGGUGUUGGGACUCGCGUUAAUUCGCGUUCCCCAAAUUGAUUGGCGGUCACGUCGAGCUUCCAUAGCGUAGUAGUAAAACCCUCGUUACUGGUAAUCGUCGCGGCCACGCCGUUAAACCCCAACUUCUGAAUGUUGACCUCGGAUCAGGUAGGAAUACCCGCUGAACUUAAGCAUAUC